CCUACGGGCGGCAGCAGUGAGGAAUAUUGGUCAAUGGACGAGAGUCUGAACCAGCCAAGUAGCUUGAAGGAUGACUGCCCUAUUGGUUGUAAACUUCUUUUAUAUGGGAAUAAAACGUUCCACGUGUGGGAUUUUGUAUGUACCAUAUGAAUAAGGAUCGGCUAACUCCGUGCCAGCAGCCGCGGUAAUACGGAGGAUCCGAGCGUUAUCCGGAUUUAUUGGGUUUAAAGGGAGCGUAGGUGGAUUGUUAAGUCAGUUGUGAAAGUUUGCGUCUCAACCGUAAAAUUGCAGUUGAAACUGGCAGUCUUGAGUACAGUAGAGGUGGGCGGAAUUCGUGGUGUAGCGGUGAAAUGCUUAGAUAUCACGAAGAACUCCGAUUGCGAAGGCAGUUCACUGGACUGCAACUGACACUGAGGCUCGUAAGUGUGGGUAUCAAACAGGAUUAGAUACCCUUGUAGUC
Molecule: ribosomal RNA, 460 nt
Filed under: uncultured bacterium
Lineage: Bacteria
Description: partial 16S ribosomal RNA
Rfam family: Bacterial small subunit ribosomal RNA
Source: RNAcentral